UACGGGGGGAGCAAGCGUUGUUCGGAUUUACUGGGCGUAAAGGGCGCGUAGGCGGCCACCGCAAGUCGACUGUGAAAUCUCCGGGCUUAACCCGGAAAGGUCAGCCGAUACUGCGGGGCUAGAGUGCAGAAGGGGCAACUGGAAUUCUCGGUGUAGCGGUGAAAUGCGUAGAGAUCGUGAGGAAGACCAGUGGCGAAGGCGGGUCUCUGGACAGUUCCUGACACUGAGACACGAAGGCCAGGGGAGCAAACGGG
RNAcentral lists this ribosomal RNA (254 nucleotides) under uncultured bacterium. RNAcentral describes it as "partial 16S ribosomal RNA". It matches the Rfam family "Bacterial small subunit ribosomal RNA", at positions 524 to 776 of the family's 1533-position model. The record is from RNAcentral.